GGAGUCUGGGCCGUAUCUCAGUCCCAAUGUGGCCGUUCAACCUCUCAGUCCGGCUACUGAUCGCAGCCUUGGUAGGCCGUUACCCCACCAACUAGCUAAUCAGACGUGAGCCCAUCCUUCAGCGAUAAAAUCUUUGGUCAUCAGAAGAUGCCUCCCGAUGACAUCAUGCGGUAUUAGCAGUCGUUUCCAACUGUUGUCCCCCUCUGAAGGGCAGGUUGCUCACGCAUUACUCACCCGUCCGCCACUAAGUCAAGUCCCUCUUCGACGAAUCUCCAAGGAAAAUGCUUCGUUCGACUUGCAUGUGUUAGGCACGCCGCCAGCGUCGUCCUCGAGCCACUGAUCAAACUACU
This 350-nucleotide ribosomal RNA is filed under the name uncultured Oscillospiraceae bacterium. RNAcentral's name for it is "partial 16S ribosomal RNA". Lineage: Bacteria; Bacillati; Bacillota; Clostridia; Eubacteriales; Oscillospiraceae. The record is from RNAcentral.